RNAcentral lists this ribosomal RNA (447 nucleotides) under uncultured bacterium. RNAcentral describes it as "partial 16S ribosomal RNA". It matches the Rfam family "Bacterial small subunit ribosomal RNA", at positions 29 to 523 of the family's 1533-position model. The record is from RNAcentral.
AACGAACGCUGGCGGCAGGCUUAACACAUGCAAGUCGAACGCCCCGCAAGGGGAGUGGCAGACGGGUGAGUAACGCGUGGGAAUCUACCCAUCUCUACGGAAUAACUGAGGGAAACUUGUGCUAAUACCGUAUACGCCCUUCGGGGGAAAGAUUUAUCGGAGAUGGAUGAGCCCGGGUUUGAUUAGCUAGUUGGUGGGGUAAAGGCCUACCAAGGCGACGAUCCAUAGCUGGUUCGGGAGGAUGAUCAGCCACAUUGGGACUGAGAAACGGCCCAAACUCCUACGGGAGGCAGCAGUGGGAAAUAUUGGACAAUGGGCGCAAGCCUGAUCCAGCCAUGCCGCGUGAGUGAUGAAGGUCUUAGGGUUGUAAAGCUCUUUCACCGGAGAAGAUAAUGACGGUAUCCGGAGAAGAAGCCCCGGCUAACUUCGUGCCAGCCGCCGCGGUAA